This 451-nucleotide ribosomal RNA is filed under the name uncultured bacterium. RNAcentral's name for it is "bacterial SSU rRNA". It matches the Rfam family "Bacterial small subunit ribosomal RNA", at positions 45 to 518 of the family's 1533-position model. The record is from RNAcentral.
UGGAUUAGGCAUGCAAGUCGAACGGGAUCCUUCGGGAUCCAGUGGCGGAAGGGUGAGUAACACGUGAAGCAACCCGCCCCCAAGGCCGGAACAAGCGCUGGAAACGGCGUCUGAAACCGGAUAGAGGACCCCCACCGCAUGGCGGGGCGUCCAAAUAUUCAUACCCUGGGGAUGGGCUCGCGGCCCAUUAGCUUGUCGGCGGGGCGACGGCCCACCGAGGCGACGACGGGUAGGUGGUCUGAGAGGAUGGUCACCCACACUGGGACUGAGACACUGCCCAGACUCCUGCGGGAGGACUGCAGUCGAGUAAUCUUCCGCAAUGGGCGCAAGCCCUGACGGAGCGAUGCCGCGUGAGGGACGGAGGCCUUCGGGUCGCGAACCUCUGUCGCCCGGGACGAUGAUGACGGUACCGGGAAAGGAAGCCACGGCUUAACCACGUGCCAGCCGCUGC